Molecule: ribosomal RNA, 438 nt
Filed under: uncultured bacterium
Lineage: Bacteria
Description: bacterial SSU rRNA
Rfam family: Bacterial small subunit ribosomal RNA
Source: RNAcentral
GCUAAACGCGAAGAACCUUACCUACUCUUGACAUCCAGAGAACUUAGCAGAGAUGCUUUGGUGCCUUCGGGAACUCUGAGACAGGUGCUGCAUGGCUGUCGUCAGCUCGUGUUGUGAAAUGUUGGGUUAAGUCCCGCAACGAGCGCAACCCUUAUCCUUUGUUGCCAGCGGUCCGGCCGGGAACUCAAAAGGAGACUGCCAGUGAUAAACUGGAGGAAGGUGGGGAUGACGUCAAGUCAUCAUGGCCCUUACGAGUAGGGCUACACACGUGCUACAAUGGCGCAUACAAAGAGAAGCGACCUCGCGAGAGCAAGCGGACCUCAUAAAGUGCGUCGUAGUCCGGAUUGGAGUCUGCAACUCGACUCCAUGAAGUCGGAAUCGCUAGUAAUCGUAGAUCAGAAUGCUACGGUGAAUACGUUCCCGGGUCUUGUACACACC